GGUUAAGCGACUAAGCGUACACGGUGGAUGCCCUGGCAGUCAGAGGCGAUGAAGGACGUGCUAAUCUGCGAUAAGCGUCGGUAAGGUGAUAUGAACCGUUAUAACCGGCGAUUUCCGAAUGGGGAAACCCAGUGUGUUUCGACACACUAUCAUUAACUGAAUCCAUAGGUUAAUGAGGCGAACCGGGGGAACUGAAACAUCUAAGUACCCCGAGGAAAAGAAAUCAACCGAGAUUCCCCCAGUAGCGGCGAGCGAACGGGGAGCAGCCCAGAGCCUGAAUCAGUGUGUGUGUUAGUGGAAGCGUCUGGAAAGGCGCGCGAUACAGGGUGACAGCCCCGUACACAAAAAUGCACAUGCUGUGAGCUCGAUGAGUAGGGCGGGACACGUGGUAUCCUGUCUGAAUAUGGGGGGACCAUCCUCCAAGGCUAAAUACUCCUGACUGACCGAUAGUGAACCAGUACCGUGAGGGAAAGGCGAAAAGAACCCCGGCGAGGGGAGUGAAAAAGAACCUGAAACCGUGUACGUACAAGCAGUGGGAGCACGCUUAGGCGUGUGACUGCGUACCUUUUGUAUAAUGGGUCAGCGACUUAUAUUCUGUAGCAAGGUUAACCGAAUAGGGGAGCCGAAGGGAAACCGAGUCUUAACUGGGCGUUAAGUUGCAGGGUAUAGACCCGAAACCCGGUGAUCUAGCCAUGGGCAGGUUGAAGGUUGGGUAACACUAACUGGAGGACCGAACCGACUAAUGUUGAAAAAUUAGCGGAUGACUUGUGGCUGGGGGUGAAAGGCCAAUCAAACCGGGAGAUAGCUGGUUCUCCCCGAAAGCUAUUUAGGUAGCGCCUCGUGAAUUCAUCUCCGGGGGUAGAGCACUGUUUCGGCAAGGGGGUCAUCCCGACUUACCAACCCGAUGCAAACUGCGAAUACCGGAGAAUGUUAUCACGGGAGACACACGGCGGGUGCUAACGUCCGUCGUGAAGAGGGAAACAACCCAGACCGCCAGCUAAGGUCCCAAAGUCAUGGUUAAGUGGGAAACGAUGUGGGAAGGCCCAGACAGCCAGGAUGUUGGCUUAGAAGCAGCCAUCAUUUAAAGAAAGCGUAAUAGCUCACUGGUCGAGUCGGCCUGCGCGGAAGAUGUAACGGGGCUAAACCAUGCACCGAAGCUGCGGCAGCGACGCUUAUGCGUUGUUGGGUAGGGGAGCGUUCUGUAAGCCUGUGAAGGUGUGCUGUGAGGCAUGCUGGAGGUAUCAGAAGUGCGAAUGCUGACAUAAGUAACGAUAAAGCGGGUGAAAAGCCCGCUCGCCGGAAGACCAAGGGUUCCUGUCCAACGUUAAUCGGGGCAGGGUGAGUCGACCCCUAAGGCGAGGCCGAAAGGCGUAGUCGAUGGGAAACAGGUUAAUAUUCCUGUACUUGGUGUUACUGCGAAGGGGGGACGGAGAAGGCUAUGUUGGCCGGGCGACGGUUGUCCCGGUUUAAGCGUGUAGGCUGGUUUUCCAGGCAAAUCCGGAAAAUCAAGGCUGAGGCGUGAUGACGAGGCACUACGGUGCUGAAGCAACAAAUGCCCUGCUUCCAGGAAAAGCCUCUAAGCAUCAGGUAACAUCAAAUCGUACCCCAAACCGACACAGGUGGUCAGGUAGAGAAUACCAAGGCGCUUGAGAGAACUCGGGUGAAGGAACUAGGCAAAAUGGUGCCGUAACUUCGGGAGAAGGCACGCUGAUAUGUAGGUGAAGUCCCUCGCGGAUGGAGCUGAAAUCAGUCGAAGAUACCAGCUGGCUGCAACUGUUUAUUAAAAACACAGCACUGUGCAAACACGAAAGUGGACGUAUACGGUGUGACGCCUGCCCGGUGCCGGAAGGUUAAUUGAUGGGGUCAGCGCAAGCGAAGCUCUUGAUCGAAGCCCCGGUAAACGGCGGCCGUAACUAUAACGGUCCUAAGGUAGCGAAAUUCCUUGUCGGGUAAGUUCCGACCUGCACGAAUGGCGUAAUGAUGGCCAGGCUGUCUCCACCCGAGACUCAGUGAAAUUGAACUCGCUGUGAAGAUGCAGUGUACCCGCGGCAAGACGGAAAGACCCCGUGAACCUUUACUAUAGCUUGACACUGAACAUUGAGCCUUGAUGUGUAGGAUAGGUGGGAGGCUUAGAAGUGUGGACGCCAGUCUGCAUGGAGCCGACCUUGAAAUACCACCCUUUAAUGUUUGAUGUUCUAACGUUGACCCGUAAUCCGGGUUGCGGACAGUGUCUGGUGGGUAGUUUGACUGGGGCGGUCUCCUCCUAAAGAGUAACGGAGGAGCACGAAGGUUGGCUAAUCCUGGUCGGACAUCAGGAGGUUAGUGCAAUGGCAUAAGCCAGCUUGACUGCGAGCGUGACGGCGCGAGCAGGUGCGAAAGCAGGUCAUAGUGAUCCGGUGGUUCUGAAUGGAAGGGCCAUCGCUCAACGGAUAAAAGGUACUCCGGGGAUAACAGGCUGAUACCGCCCAAGAGUUCAUAUCGACGGCGGUGUUUGGCACCUCGAUGUCGGCUCAUCACAUCCUGGGGCUGAAGUAGGUCCCAAGGGUAUGGCUGUUCGCCAUUUAAAGUGGUACGCGAGCUGGGUUUAGAACGUCGUGAGACAGUUCGGUCCCUAUCUGCCGUGGGCGCUGGAGAACUGAGGGGGGCUGCUCCUAGUACGAGAGGACCGGAGUGGACGCAUCACUGGUGUUCGGGUUGUCAUGCCAAUGGCACUGCCCGGUAGCUAAAUGCGGAAGAGAUAAGUGCUGAAAGCAUCUAAGUACGAAACUUGCCCCGAGAUGAGUUCUCCCUGACUCCUUGAGAGUCCUGAAGGAACGUUGAAGACGACGACGUUGAUAGGCCGGGUGUGUAAGCGCAGCGAUGCGUUGAGCUAACCGGUACUAAUGAACCGUGAGGCUUAACCUU
This 2904-nucleotide ribosomal RNA is filed under the name Escherichia coli O9:H10. Its description in RNAcentral is "23S ribosomal RNA". It matches the Rfam family "Bacterial large subunit ribosomal RNA". The record is from RNAcentral. Lineage: Bacteria; Pseudomonadati; Pseudomonadota; Gammaproteobacteria; Enterobacterales; Enterobacteriaceae.